GUGCUCACAUUGGCAGCACACAUACUAACACUGGAAUGAUACAGAGAUUAGCAUGGCCCCUGGGCAAGGAUGACACACAAAUUCAUGAAGCACUCUAUAUUUUA
Bubalus bubalis (water buffalo) is the source of this 104-nucleotide small nuclear RNA. The record is from RefSeq and is a predicted model, not a curated record. Lineage: Eukaryota; Metazoa; Chordata; Mammalia; Artiodactyla; Bovidae.